UGAACGCUGGCGGCGUGCCUAAUACAUGCAAGUCGAGCGAACAGAUGAGGAGCUUGCUCCUCUGCCGUUAGCGGCGGACGGGUGAGUAACACGUGGUUAACCUACCUAUAAGACUGGGAUAACUUCGGGAAACCGGAGCUAAUACCGGAUAAUAUAUUGAACCGCAUGGUUCAAUAGUGAAAGACGGUUUUGCUGUCACUUAUAGAUGGAUCCGCGCCGCAUUAGCUAGUUGGUAAGGUAACGGCUUACCAAGGCAACGAUGCGUAGCCGACCUGAGAGGGUGAUCGGCCACACUGGAACUGAGACACGGUCCAGACUCCUACGGGAGGCAGCAGUAGGGAAUCUUCCGCAAUGGGCGAAAGCCUGACGGAGCAACGCCGCGUGAGUGAUGAAGGUCUUCGGAUCGUAAAACUCUGUUAUUAGGGAAGAACAAAUGUGUAAGUAACUAUGCACGUCUUGACGGUACCUAAUCAGAAAGCCACGGCUAACUACGUG
Molecule: ribosomal RNA, 495 nt
Filed under: uncultured bacterium
Lineage: Bacteria
Description: partial 16S ribosomal RNA
Rfam family: Bacterial small subunit ribosomal RNA
Source: RNAcentral